Molecule: long non-coding RNA, 104 nt
Organism: Notothenia coriiceps (black rockcod)
Lineage: Eukaryota; Metazoa; Chordata; Actinopteri; Perciformes; Nototheniidae
Exons: 3
Source: RefSeq, a predicted model, not a curated record
CUGAGCAUCAGGCGUGAAAAGUCACUGCUGUGCAUCUUACUGUAGUUGGAGUGAACGUCAUCAAUAUCCUUCUCAGACUGAUUCUUUGUGAAAACCAUGACCUG